CAGUCGUACCUGCGGAUAAUCAGCUUUUUGAGUGUGAUUAUGUGGUUUAUGAGGAGUUUAACCGCCUUCAUGUAUUGCAUAUUUGUGCUCUUGGGUGUACUUGUCUGUGUGGUAGGUUAACAUCAAUUUCGGACGUUCAUAAAAUGAUUGGAGGAAUGUAGCUUUGAUCUCGUAUUGAAGUGUUAUAGCCUCUGGUAGAUGUGACGUAGUUGGGAUUGGAGGUAUU
This 226-nucleotide ribosomal RNA is filed under the name Rhizophagus irregularis. Lineage: Eukaryota; Fungi; Glomeromycota; Glomeromycetes; Glomerales; Glomeraceae. The record is from RNAcentral.